RNAcentral lists this long non-coding RNA (472 nucleotides) under Capra hircus (goat). RNAcentral's name for it is "lncRNA (ENSCHIG00000005869.1)". The record is from RNAcentral. Lineage: Eukaryota; Metazoa; Chordata; Mammalia; Artiodactyla; Bovidae.
GAUACCAUACCAGGGCUGUCUCCACAGCUGCGUGCUUUUCAGUUCCCCUCUCCCCAGAACUCUUAACCUUAUUCUCACACUCUGUGAGGUUUCCAUGUUGGCAAGAAAGCUGAAAAAAUGUCAAGCAUACCCAGAUGAGGAGACUUAGAAGAGAUGCUUGUGGCUUUAGCUCAGCUGCCUGGACUACAGCCUUUCUAAGAAGCAGGUGGCAGAAAGAAGCAGAUGAAGUUAAGAUGCUAAAAGGAUUAAGAAUUCUCCAAGGAAAUAAACUGUAAGUCUGAUAAUCUUUCAAAUAAACUAUUCAAGACAUUUUAUAUCUUACCAAGGACUUUUCUGUUUUGAAAGUUAGUAUAAUAAUAGCUAUUUACAUAGAGUUUACUCUGUGCCAGACACUGAUCUAAGUGCUUUUUAAAAAACAUGUAUUAAGUCCUCCAGUUUUCAUAAUAGCUCUAUAAAGUGGGUACUAUUUUUC